Long non-coding RNA from Rhineura floridana, 2026 nucleotides. RefSeq lists it as uncharacterized. Lineage: Eukaryota; Metazoa; Chordata; Lepidosauria; Squamata; Rhineuridae. The record is from RefSeq and is a predicted model, not a curated record. The transcript has 4 exons.
AGGCAGCUGGGGAGGCUGUAGGACACUAAAUAAAUGUUUACUGGAAAGAAAACACACACACAAGUUGCUUACAAUGGUGACUUGAGCUUAAAGGUCCAUAUCUGCAGAAAUUCCACAGAAAUUUGAAGGUGCCCUCGGAAUGAGGCAGAAAAAGCCUCUUUUGCAGAGGAAGAAAACCUUCAAGAGUUUGGAGGACGGAUUUCAGCGCAGCACUUUGAACUUUGCACAAAGGGCUCCAGCGUGAAGUCAGCCUGUGUCACCAUGAAACAAGCGCUGGGACUUUGCCUGUUGCCCACAAAGCUACCAGACAGAGCCAGCACUUGUGAUGAAAUCUUCAAAUGGAAUGGCUAUCAUGUGACAAUUGAACAGGAAGUAUGAGAAGCCUCUCAAAAUCAGCUAAAUCCAAGCACUUCAGUUUAAGAGAUUGAUGGAUUCGAAACUGGACUCGGAAAGCCACCUGUCAUGAUUCUGGGACACAGAGGACUCUGAGGAGGAGGAGGAAGCUUGGGCCACUUCCUUGGGUGAAAAGCUGUUAGUACCAAAUCUGGGACCCUUCCAGCCAGAAGGCAAAGCCCUACCACCAACUUCAGACUUAGAGGAUGAGUCCCCUAUAGUACCUCCAUCUUCCCAGCCUCACAGAGGUCAAAGACUGCAAAAUCAGGCAACAGCCCAUUAACAACCCGGCUAAAGAAGUGGAGCCAACUAUGUUGCGGGUUUUGUCAGCCUACAUAAAUCUUCAGUUUGCUUCCACUCCCUGCUGGGACAUCUUCCUUCAGCUACAUUAGCAGGAUUGGAAUGUUUUUUAUGCAAGCAGAACUGGAGGACUGCUUUGUGGGUGGAGGCUGUCCUUCAUGAUGAAGACUGGAUACUACAGUUACUUCUUUGUGGAAUUAUAAGGUGCUUUGCAAAAUCAAAAGAAGUGUGCAAUCUGACUGGAGGCUGUGUCCCACUCUGCAAGCAAGCAUGGCAGAUGGAGCGUUGGAUGGAGGACAAAUCAGUUCAGAUGUCUGGCAAGAACAGUCAUUCCCACACUACCUCUUCCUGUGCUGGCAGCACACUGCGUAGGGAUAAGGGGGUGUCAGAGAGAAAAGGGAGUGGAAGAAACAGAGAGAGAAAAGGGGUGGCCCCAUCUAUUUUCAGGUCUGGCCCUGCCUACAGCUGGCUUCAAUCCAUGACUGGCUCUGGCCGUGACUGGCUGUGGCCCUACUCACCACCAGCUUGCAGCCCACAGAAGAUUACUGUUGAAGGAAUGCAGCCUUUGAAGAAAAAUGGUCCUGCCCACUCCAUCCCUGCUUGGGGCUCUAGAUAGCACCCAGGUCCCCAAAGAACCAUAGGAAUUAAAUUCCCAUGGCUCCCAUCACUUGUGGGUGCUUCUCCACGAUUGUGGCAGCAACCAGAGAUGCUGAAUAUCUUCAGAGCUACAUUUGUGAUUGCACCUUGGGGCAUUUUGGAGACCUUGCCAUGAUGCCCUGCAUGAGUUUUUCUAGCCUCUAUCAUGUCCAAUUGAGGAAGGCGCCAGGGAAUCCUGACUCCAUGGUAGGGAGAUUUCCAUGGCAUUUGGGCCUCAGUAUGGACAUCAUCCAGCAAAAUAAAGUGGGUUCUUCAAAUUAUUUCUGCUAUACACUGGUGUGGAUAUGUGUAUGUGUGUGUACUACCCAUCCUCAAGAGACCAUUCACACAUGCAAGUUACUGCUUCCAUCACCAAGGGAUGGGCAUGCAUGGUGUAGUGGUAAGAAUGUUGGACUAGGGCCUGGGAGACCAGGGUUCAAAUCCCCACUGAGCCACAAAGCUUGCUGGGUGACCUUGGGCCAUUUGCAGGCUCUCAGCCUAACCUACCUCACAGGGUUGUUGUAAAGAUAAAAUGGAGAGGGAGAACAAUGUGCUCCACCUUGAGCUCCUUGGAGGAAAGGUGGGAUGAUAGGCAUGCAUACAAGAGCCCGUCCCAAUCUUAGUCUCAUCCUGCCUAUGGGAGGGAAUUUUCCACUGCCUUUACUGAGUACAGACAUACUUCCUCCAAUUUCCUUGA